GCCUAAAACCCAGCCCUAUGUUACCGAAUGUAACACCCCAUAAUAAAGAACCAAACUAAAACAUUUUCUUAACCAAGUAAAGGCGAUUAAAAAGUUUAUAGGAGCCUCAACAUCAGUACCGCAAGGGAAAAGUGAAAUAAAAAUGAAAUAAGUUUAAAGCAUAUUAAAGUAGUGAUUAAGCCCCGUACCUUUUGCAUCAUGGUCUAACUAGCAAAAUCAAGCAAAAUGAACUUUAAGUUUGACCCCCCGAAACUAGACGAGCUACUUCAAAACAGCCCCGCGAGCCAACCCGUCCCUGUUGCAAAAGGGUGGGAAGAUUUUUAAGUAGAGGUGAUAAACCUACCGAGUCCAGAGAUAGCUGGUUAUUCAGGAAAAGGAUCUAAGUCCAAUUUUAAUCCUUUACACAAUACAAAAUGUACCCACAGGCUUAAAAUUCACUCAAAUAAGGUACAGCCUAUUUGAGACAGGAGACAACCUACGACAUAGGGUAAUGCUUAACCAACGUGACCAAGUAGGCCCAAAAGCAGCCAUCUUUAAAAAAGCGUUAAAGCUUUACCACGCCCAAUUGUUAAUUCCAACCCGCUCCCAAAACCCCUCACUUAUACUGAAUGACUCUAUACUUUUAUAGAAGCCCUCAUGCUAGAACUAGUAACAAGAAUACCCAUUCUCCUACAAAUGUAAGUGUAAGCCAGUAUGGAUCCCCCACCGGCACUCACCGCCAAUGAAUUAACAGUAGCAACUUCCACAAGAAAAACCUACUUCACCCAGCGUUAACCUUACACAAGAGCUUUUCUGGAAAGAUUAAAAAAAGAGGAAGGAACUCGGCAAACACUAACCCCGCCUGUUUACCAAAAACAUCACCUUCUGACAACCAAUUGAAGGCCCAGCCUGCCCAGUGACAAACUUAAACGGCCGCGGUACCUUAACCGUGCAAAGGUAGCACAAUCACUUGUUCUUUAAAUAAGGACUAGUAUGAACGGCACCACGAGGGUUAUACUGUCUCCCCCCUUUAAUCAGUGAAACUAAUUUCCCCGUGAAGAAGCGGGGAUAAACCUAUAAGACGAGAAGACCCCAUGGAGCUUUAAACUAUGUACCACUUAUACCAUGCAUACCACUUAAAUUAAGUAAGUCUGUUUACUAGUUUUUGGUUGGGGUGACCGCGGAGCAAAACAAAACCUCCAUGACGAAAGGAAACACCCUCCUAAUCAGAGAGCCACCACUCACAGAAUCAAAAUAUUGACCUAAAUUGACCCAAUACAUUUGAACAACGAACCAAGUUACCCUGGGGAUAACAGCGCAAUCCAUUUCAAGAGCCCGUAUCAACAAAUGGGUUUACGACCUCGAUGUUGGAUCAGGGUAUCCUAGUGGUGUAGCCAUUACUAAAGGUUCGUUUGUUCAACGAUUAAAACCCUACGUGAUCUGAGUUCAGACCGGAGUAAUCCAGGUCGGUUUCUAUCUAUAAAGCGUUUUCCCCAGUACGAAAGGACCGGGACAACAUGGCCAAUGCAUAAACAAGCCAUCGCUAUUAACUAAUGACCCCGACUCAAUAAGUUUUAGCCUAAUAAUAACCUUAAGAUAAAAGA
This 1583-nucleotide ribosomal RNA is filed under the name Cophixalus sp. TNHC 54754. RNAcentral's name for it is "16S ribosomal RNA". It matches the Rfam family "Bacterial large subunit ribosomal RNA". Lineage: Eukaryota; Metazoa; Chordata; Amphibia; Anura; Microhylidae. The record is from RNAcentral. RNAcentral also lists the same sequence under 1 other name.